This 331-nucleotide ribosomal RNA is filed under the name uncultured Porphyromonadaceae bacterium. RNAcentral describes it as "bacterial SSU rRNA". It matches the Rfam family "Bacterial small subunit ribosomal RNA", at positions 354 to 681 of the family's 1533-position model. Lineage: Bacteria; Pseudomonadati; Bacteroidota; Bacteroidia; Bacteroidales; Porphyromonadaceae. The record is from RNAcentral.
UGAGGGAAUAUUGGGUCAAUGGGCGAGAGCCUGAACCAGCCAAGUCGCGUGAAGGAUGAAGGUUCUAUGGAUUGUAAACUUCUUUUAUUCGAGGGUAAAGUGAGGUACGUGUACCUUAUUGCAAGUAUCGAAUGAAUAAGCAUCGGCUAACUCCGUGCCAGCAGCCGCGGUAAUACGGAGGAUGCGAGCGUUAUCCGGAUUUAUUGGGUUUAAAGGGUGCGUAGGCGGAUUAUUAAGUCAGCGGUGAAAGCGUGUGGCUCAACCAUACAGUUGCCGUUGAUACUGGUAGUCUUGAGUGUAAACGAGGUAGGCGGAAUGUGAUGUGUAGCGG